Non-coding RNA from Acanthosepion pharaonis, 113 nucleotides. The record is from the annotation of a GenBank genome assembly. NCBI's taxonomy places the organism in Eukaryota, Metazoa, Mollusca, Cephalopoda, Sepiida, Sepiidae.
UACAACCAUAUCACAUUGAAACCCUGUUUCUCAUAUGAUCACCAAAGUUAAGCAAUGUUGAGCAUGGUCAGUACCUAGAUGGGUGACAGCUUGGGAAUACCAGGUGUUGUAAG